ACUCGGUCGGUCGGUUGGCCCACCUAACAGAUGAUGAGAUUCUCGAUCGAUUUGAUCGAAUUUCAAAAAGUCUUUCUCACUAUUCAGAACAGUGGAGCUUUCGAUCAAGAUCUUCUCGCCUCACCCGUUUGGGCUCUCGCUCGAAUCGGAACCUUUAUGCGUUGGUAGGCUUUCGACUCAAUCUAAUAGCCUACCUAUCGGGCGCCAAUAAAAGAGAAAGUUUUCGCAUGGGCUCAUCAUCUGAUGCAGAACCGAUGCGAGAGGGAGAAGCGGGGAUUGAUAGCUUUCAAGAACCAGUGGAAAGGAAAGACUUCUUCCCUGCAUUCCUUCCUUUCCAAAAAAAGGAAAUUUGUUUGGGCUGGCAUAGGCAUAAAAGAUUUGAUUGAAUGAAUGCCACCUUGGUAGUUUUCAAACAAAUCCAAUGUUGGGCCAAGCCUUGCCAGCCGGUAAUAGCCGAAGGCAAAAAAGGGGGAGAUAGGGAAGAGGAGAUUAAGGAUAGUCACUCCACUCCAUAGAUAGUGCACACAGAUUCUUCUUUCAUUUUCCAUUCCUUUCGGGUCGGAAACGCGGGCUGCUAGUGGGGCUGUGCCCAUUCUCCCUCUUCUUCCGCUUUACAACCGGAAUAAGGAACCUUAGAAUUCACCCUACCUGUCGAUGAAAAAAUGGGAUUUGAGAGGAGCUGAAAGCCACUUGACUCUAAGGAGAGGACCACCAGCUAGCGGAUCAGAAAGAUUUGUAUGGAAUGUCCUACUCCUGCCUGAGCUUUCCGAUCAACCAAUCCCCUAUUUCAGGGACAUCUGUGUUAGGUAGGCCCAGGGAUCACUGAUUAGUCGAAUGAGCCCAUCUCUCUGGCCUAUCAUUUGUUGGUCGAUCCGGCUGGCGGCUCCUGCAUCUCCUGCCUCUCUAUGGGGGCCCCUUUUUUUAGACUAGUUUGCUGCUAGGAGUCCCUAGAGUCGAAUUAAUAAUCAAUAGAAGUCCCAAUAGAAGUUUACUGACCUGGCUCUUCAAUCGACGAUCUACUGCUCCCUCUUAAUAGCAGAUGCCCAUGCUUUGAUUCGAAAGCCCUAGCCAGUGAUGAAUCCCCAGGUAUUCAGUGUCUGGUUCGAUAGGACCAGGAAGAGAGGACUCUUUUUUUCCUCCUCCCUUCAGUCCAGUUUGAACCCGUCCCAACAACGAACACCUUCCUACUGCAAGGUGAGGCUCUGCCCUUCCCCUAGAAUCCA
This 1223-nucleotide long non-coding RNA is filed under the name Nicotiana benthamiana. RNAcentral's name for it is "long non-coding RNA (NBEN_LNC032157)". Lineage: Eukaryota; Viridiplantae; Streptophyta; Magnoliopsida; Solanales; Solanaceae. The record is from RNAcentral.